UACGUCCCGGGCUUGUACACACCGCCCGUCACGUCACGAAAGUCGGCAACACCCGAAGCCGGUGGCCUAACCCGUAAGGGAGGGAGCCGUCGAAGGUGGGGCCAGCGAUUGGGACG
This 116-nucleotide ribosomal RNA is filed under the name uncultured bacterium. RNAcentral describes it as "partial 16S ribosomal RNA". It matches the Rfam family "Bacterial small subunit ribosomal RNA", at positions 1367 to 1482 of the family's 1533-position model. The record is from RNAcentral.